RNAcentral lists this microRNA (23 nucleotides) under Mus musculus (house mouse). Its description in RNAcentral is "mmu-miR-201-3p". Its record names the gene mmu-miR-201-3p. The record is from miRBase by way of RNAcentral. Lineage: Eukaryota; Metazoa; Chordata; Mammalia; Rodentia; Muridae.
UGAACAGUGCCUUUCUGUGUAGG